GGAGGGGCGGCGCUCCCGCCGGCUGGGCUUCGGGGCAACGUUAACCGGCGCCCGCCGCCACCGGAGCAGGAGGUACCGGGGCCGCGUGGAGGGUGCGUGGACGAGGGUCCGGGACGCGGGCCUGGGGGCCCGGGUAGGGAGGGGCGUUUUGAGAAGGAAAGGGCGGGGAGGGCUCGGCCACUGCCCCGCCACCUGUUCCAGAGGGGACAUUUGAGGGCGCACUGCCUGGGCGCGGCGGUCCCCGGCCGCCGCCUCCGCUCCCCUGCUCCCCAAAGUUGAGCGGGGCGGCUGGAGUGGGAGCCCCGGCCCGCUAGGGUAGCCUUGCCCCGCCCGGGAGCCCUCGGAACAGCCCCGCCCGGGCCGGGUCCCGCGGGGGGAGAGGGGGCCAGAAGUCGGGGUCCGAGGGCGGGCCACCCCCCUCCCGCGCUGCGACCUUGGGCGAGUAGCGCCACGCUGUCUGGGGGCGCGGGAUCGUCCCGGGAGGCCUGGCCGCGGGGCCGCGCUCGCCGCUGGCCCUGCAGGGAGCGGCCGGCUGGAGGGCGGGCUGCCGGGGCAGGAGAUGCUGAGGCUUUGGACGCUCCGAGGCGGGGAGGGACCCUCCAGGUGCAGGGAACUGCGGGGGUAAGAGCGGAGAAGUCGGAAAGUCGGGCCUCGGCGCUCGCUCGUGUCAGGAUACGCGUCUGCAGACGACCCCUCCUUCCGGCGUGCUUCUCUCCCUCCCUCUUCUCCAGAUGGGAAAGAUUGAGUGAAGUGGGAGCUGGGAUGUGCUGCGGGGAGGUCCAACCUCAGAGUCCACUUCCCUUCGCUGCUAGGGAGACUUUUAUGAGCGGAUGGGAAAGAGCCAGAAGACAGAGUGGCUGAGGCCCCCGGAGAAGGAAGGGCAGGUGGAUGGACUGAGGUCCCAGCGGAUGCGGGAGGUGGCAGGUGCCCAGCACUGGUCCAGAGAGACCUUCCGAGCUGGUGAGGACAGGAGGUGAGAGGGAGGGGCUGGGAGGACACCUUAGGAACUGGCUUUGGUCUUCGUAGAGAAGAAGGCAGAAAAGCAUCAGUGGAAGGAAAGGGUUCUGGACCCAAGGUCCCCACUCCCUGUGCUGCUUGCUGGCCUUGUCCCUUUAAGUCCUCCCUGGUGUUAUCACCCCCUUUGACAGAUUCUGGGAGGGAGGGAAAGUACACUGUUCCAGGUCGCUCAGCUGAGGAGUGUCAGGGCUGGUUCAAAGUAGGCUCUCCCCACACAAGCUGCAGAACCUUGAAAAUCACUUCCCUCUCCUAAUUUCCAUUUCUAGUGGAUAUUGGGAAGUGACACCCAUCUCGUUCUUUCUGGAACUUGGUGAGUGUCCCUUCCGCUCCUGUAAGCCUCUGUUUGCCUUCCCUCUGAACAGACCCCAGUGGGUUCAAGAGCUUCCAGUGGCAGUCGGGUUGGCCUCGGGACUAGGCGAGUCCCCUUCCUUUCUGGGCCAGUGACUACACACCCUCCCCUGUAUACCACUCUUGCCCACCAGGAGCCGACCCCAGCAGAAGCACACAGCCUUCUCUGAUGUCACACCUGUGCAAAGUCUGAGUUGGCAAACAGGUAGCUGGGUGGACAGGCACAGAAGAGUGAAAUGGGAAAAGCAGUCUUCCCAUUCUAUGAACAGGCUUGAUUUGAAAGAGUAGAAGCCUCUGUCUCAGAUGUAGACACAGCCCAGAGAGGUCCCCCAACCCUCCAGUUGUCUCUCGGCUUCAUUGCUCCUUCCCCCCUGUCUCCAAGGCAACACCCUGGGUUGGGGGCAGCGGGCAGGCUUCCAUCAACUGAGCCCCCACUAGGUGCCAGACACUUUAUUUAACUCUCUAAGCCAUCCUGUGCUGUUAUUCCCAUUUUAUAGAUGAGGUAACUGAGACUCAGAGUCAAGUGCCUCUUUGUCACUGUGAGAUUUGAGUCUCUCUCGCCAGUGCUGUCCCAG
Long non-coding RNA from Rhinolophus ferrumequinum (greater horseshoe bat), 1940 nucleotides. NCBI's taxonomy places the organism in Eukaryota, Metazoa, Chordata, Mammalia, Chiroptera, Rhinolophidae. The record is from Ensembl.